UCUUUUCUCUAGAUAGAUCUGAAUCACCAUAGCUUAGCUUAGAGGUUGCAUACUAGAGGGGGUGGCUAUGUCAGCUAGUAGUGAGAGUAUUUAUUUUGAGUAAUGCUUUUGUAGUGUACUCUAUGUUGGGUAUUGUAUAGGCCAGACAAAGUCAAUGUUGUAUAUAUAUUAAACCCUUUGUGAUAAAGAUAUGAAGUGAUAAAUGAAAGUUCGAUGUUGUUUUUAGUUUAUGUUGAAUUAAUUGUGGACAAGUUAACAGUUCAGUUCAAGUAUAGUUAGUAAUUCC
Molecule: long non-coding RNA, 286 nt
Filed under: Elaeis guineensis (African oil palm)
Lineage: Eukaryota; Viridiplantae; Streptophyta; Magnoliopsida; Arecales; Arecaceae
Description: long non-coding RNA (EGUI_LNC049339)
Source: RNAcentral